RNAcentral lists this transfer RNA (72 nucleotides) under Rhodospirillaceae bacterium. Its description in RNAcentral is "tRNA-Met". It matches the Rfam family "tRNA". Rfam says of the family: Transfer RNA (tRNA) molecules are approximately 80 nucleotides in length. Their secondary structure includes four short double-helical elements and three loops (D, anti-codon, and T loops). Further hydrogen bonds mediate the characteristic L-shaped molecular structure. tRNAs have two regions of fundamental functional importance: the anti-codon, which is responsible for specific mRNA codon recognition, and the 3' end, to which the tRNAs corresponding amino acid is attached (by aminoacyl-tRNA synthetases). tRNAs cope with the degeneracy of the genetic code in two manners: having more than one tRNA (with a specific anti-codon) for a particular amino acid; and 'wobble' base-pairing, i.e. permitting non-standard base-pairing at the 3rd anti-codon position. Lineage: Bacteria; Pseudomonadati; Pseudomonadota; Alphaproteobacteria; Rhodospirillales; Rhodospirillaceae. The record is from RNAcentral.
AGCGGGAUGGCGCAGAGGAAGCGUGCCUGGCUCAUAACCAGGAGGUCCCAGGAUCGAAACCUGGUCCCGCUA